AUGGCGAGGAAAUGCUCGAGCUGCGGCCACAAUGGCCACAACUCGAGGACCUGCAGCGGGCACCGAGGCAUGGAGAGCGGCGGCGGCGGGCUGAGGCUGUUUGGGGUGCAGCUGCAGGUGGGCGCUGCGCCUCUCAAGAAGAGCUUUAGCAUGGAGUGCCUGUCGUCGUCGGCGUCGGCGUACAACGCGGCGGCCGCGGCGGUGGGUGUUGCCGCGUCCAACUCGUCGUCGUCCGUGUCGUCGUCGUCGUCGCUGGUCUCGGUGGAGGAGAGCCCGGAGAAGAUGGGCCAGGGGUACCUCUCCGACGGACUCAUGGGAAGGGCUCAAGAGAGGAAGAAAGGGGUUCCAUGGACCGAGGACGAGCACCGGAGGUUCCUGGGCGGCCUGGAGAAGCUGGGGAAAGGCGACUGGCGAGGCAUCUCCCGGCACUUCGUCACCACACGCACGCCGACGCAGGUCGCCAGCCACGCUCAGAAGUACUUCCUCCGGCAGGCCGGCCUCGCGCAGAAGAAGCGGCGGUCCAGCCUCUUCGACGUGGUCGAGAAAAAUGGCGACAGGGGAACCACCGAGCGUCGUCACAGGCUGAAACCCGAUGCUACCAGCUCCGUGGACGCGAUGGGAUUAACAUUCCCUGCUCUUUCCCUGGGCGCCAGCCGGCCGAGACCGGACGCGGCGCUACCGCCGUGCCUGACACUGAUGCCGAGCUGCUCGCCGCCGUCGUCGUCCGCGAGCCGUGCACCGAAGCUCCCUCCUUCCCUGGGCCUGGUGGCAAAUGCGAAUCCUCCCCGGCAGGCGCCUGACCUGGAGCUCAAGAUCUCGUCGACAGCCGCCCGGAAGACCGACAAGCAGGCCGGUGCGGCCGCCGGCUCGUCGCCUUUUUUCGGAACCAUCAGGGUCACCUAG
RNAcentral lists this ribosomal RNA (903 nucleotides) under Triticum aestivum (bread wheat). RNAcentral describes it as "partial small subunit ribosomal RNA". The record is from RNAcentral. Lineage: Eukaryota; Viridiplantae; Streptophyta; Magnoliopsida; Poales; Poaceae.